This 380-nucleotide ribosomal RNA is filed under the name Escherichia coli. Its description in RNAcentral is "bacterial SSU rRNA". It matches the Rfam family "Bacterial small subunit ribosomal RNA", at positions 1 to 377 of the family's 1533-position model. Lineage: Bacteria; Pseudomonadati; Pseudomonadota; Gammaproteobacteria; Enterobacterales; Enterobacteriaceae. The record is from RNAcentral.
AAAUUGAAGAGUUUGAUCAUGGCUCAGAUUGAACGCUGGCGGCAGGCCUAACACAUGCAAGUCGAACGGUAACAGGAAGCAGCUUGCUGCUUUGCUGACGAGUGGCGGACGGGUGAGUAAUGUCUGGGAAACUGCCUGGUGGAGGGGGAUAACUACUGGAAACGGUAGCUAAUACCGCAUAACGUCGCAAGACCAAAGAGGGGGACCUUCGGGCCUCUUGCCAUCGGAUGUGCCCAGAUGGGAUUAGCUAGUAGGUGGGGUAACGGCUCACCUAGGCGACGAUCCCUAGCUGGUCUGAGAGGAUGACCAGCCACACUGGAACUGAGACACGGUCCAGACUCCUACGGGAGGCAGCAGUGGGGAAUAUUGCACAAUGGGCG